Non-coding RNA from Cyprinus carpio (common carp), 1013 nucleotides. The record is from the annotation of a RefSeq genome assembly. Lineage: Eukaryota; Metazoa; Chordata; Actinopteri; Cypriniformes; Cyprinidae.
AUACAUUGAGUCAGUCACACUUUAGAAGAGAACUGUAAGUCUUGACUCUCAAAGUUAUUGUCACUCAUUAGCGCAGAUGCUGCUCCUCAUAUUCAUUACAUUUUCUCUCCUAAAAGAGACUGCUGGUGAAGAUGUCAUAAAACCAGUCUUCACACAGAAGCAGGUUUUGGAAGGAAAAGAUGUAACACUGAUCUGCAACUACACUGAAGCUGUCAACAAUUUACAAUGGUAUCGUCAGUAUCCCGGAUCCAAACCUGAGCACCUCAUCAUGUUCUUUGAGACCAUCCCCAAAUCAGAGGACGCUCUCCGUCUGACCGCUGCAGCUGAUAAAGCAGCUAAAAGUAUGACUCUGACGAUCUCUCCUACAGAAGUGAAAGACUCUGCCAUGUACUACUGUGCCCUGGAGCCCACAGUGACAGGAAACACAACUACACUGUACAAAAACAGAGUUAGAAGUGAAAUUCAUGAUGAAAAACAAGAUCCUCCUCAUUUUAAAAACUAACUGUAACCAUUAGAAAGAAUUUGUGAACAAAAUACACAGUAAUAAAACUCUGGAGCAAAAGUACUUAAACUAGAUUAUUUGAAUAAAAAAAUCAUUCUUAAAAUAAAGCAAGUUACCAGCUCUGAUGGUGUUGUACAUCAUUAUAAAUAUAUACCAGAAAGAUUACGCAGUUUCAGUGUGUUCCAAACAAUGUUUAAAUACAAGACACAUCAUGUUUCUUCCAGAUACAGAAAAUGCUAGAUUCUCAGCAGAUGCAGACUUUACCAAGAAGUGACUAUGCUGUGUUCCAAUUCCCAGCAUACCAAAUGGCAUACCUGAUACACCGAAUGCAGACUGUUAAAUGGAGAAGCUUUGUACCAAACUUUGCAAAAAGGAAGAACAUUAAGAAUCUCUGAACUAUGUGUAAAGCUAUGAAAGUAAGAGAACAAGUGGGUGGAGCUAGUAGAGGAAAAAAAGUCACUGCUAACAAAAGAACGGCUCAAUACCUCCGAAGACAGAAGAGGACUUUCAG